This is an RNA transcript of Amborella trichopoda, 2051 nucleotides long. It is a transcript of the gene named putative ALA-interacting subunit 2, with no coding region annotated. Lineage: Eukaryota; Viridiplantae; Streptophyta; Magnoliopsida; Amborellales; Amborellaceae. The record is from RefSeq and is a predicted model, not a curated record.
UUGACGCAUCCAAGAGAGAGAGUGUGUGUGUUUGAGUUCUGUUGACAUUCGCUAAUUUCACCCGUUGUGAUGAAAUUUGGUUGAAUCCUUCUCGUCUUCAAGAUAUGACGUCCAUGUAAGCAAGGAGAGUUGAUGGAAAACACCCAAAUUCUGUGCAAUGCCAAGGGGAAUUGAUGAAAUCUAGGGUUUGUAUGGGAUGGUUGCAGCGGAGGCCAGUUUACCAAGAUCAGGUCCUAAAGGAAUUACAUGUAGAAGAUAGGAGUUCCAUUUUGGGUUCUAUGGAUAACGACGAGGCUAGUACAUCUGGAUCAAAUUUAGAAAUUCACUCUGGGUUUCGCAAUACAUUGCAUUCUAGUGUCUACGGGUUCACCCAGCAGAACCUUCCAGCAUGUAAGCCUGUAUUGACACCAGGAUGGGUUAUCACUAUGUUCUUGUCUGUUGGAUUCAUCUGCAUUCCUAUUGGAGUUGCUGCUCUCCUGGCCUCUCAAAGUGUUGUGGAGAUUGUAGACCGUUAUGAUACAGAAUGUAUACCUGAGGUGUUCAGAGACAACAAAGUGGCAUAUAUCAAAGAUGACUCUAUUUCUAAGAACUGUACUCGAAUUUUGAAGGUUCCCAGCUACAUGAAAGCUCCAAUUUAUGUCUAUUAUCAGCUUGAUAGCUUCUAUCAGAACCAUCGGAGGUAUGUUAAAAGCAGAAGUGACCGCCAGCUUUUGUAUGGGUUGAAAUACACGGACACUGCAUCAUGCAAACCUGAAGAGACCGGCAAUGGACUACCCAUCGUCCCAUGUGGUUUGGUCGCCUGGAGCUUGUUUAAUGACACCUACAAUUUUGUUCAUGAGUCAGUAGAACUAAAGGUGAACCGGAAAAAUAUAGCUUGGAAGAGCGACCGAGAACACAAGUUUGGGAAGGAUGUUUACCCCUUCAAUUUUCAGAAUGGAUCCUUAAUUGGUGGAGCAAAACUUGACCCCCAAAUUCCUCUAAGUGAGCAAGAGGAUCUCAUGGUGUGGAUGCGCACUGCUGCACUGCCCAGCUUUCGAAAGUUGUAUGGAGUGAUAGAGAUUGAUCUAGAUGCAGAUGAGAUUCUCACAGUUUUUCUCUCUAACAAUUACAACACUUACAGUUUUGGGGGGAAGAAGAGGUUGGUCCUCUCGACGAAGAGCUGGUUGGGCGGGAAGAAUAACUUUCUUGCGGUGGCCUGUCUUGCUGUUGGGUCUUCCUGUAUCUUCAUGGCCUUGCUAUUCGUACUUCUCCAUGUCAGAAACCCAAGGACUUUUGGUGAUCCGACCUACUUAACCUUGGACAGGAAAAGCAAUUUUGCCUAGGGACUGAGUGGCCCUGAACUUUAGAAGACUUUUCUGAAGUUAUCAUAUGAGCAGGAGCGCUCUCAUCCCAUGGCUGCAAAUUCAUUGAUGCCUUUGCCAUUCCACCGCAAAUUUUUUGUUCUAGAGCCAUGCAAACUCGGUUUGCCCAAGGGUCCCUUGCAAAAAUAAAGGACUUAGAAGUUCUAAGGAUUUAAGAAGCUAUGAGUUUGCAGAGAAGAUGGCAACUGUGGGUUGGUGGUGCCAUGUGAAUGGACGGUUGAGAUUUUGGGGUGCUUGCGUGGAGGGCUGAGAUUUGAAAAGACGGAUUUGCUCUUUGGGGACCAUAGUCUUUUUUAUAUUGGGAAGAAAGAGACACUCCUUUAUAUGUCUUUGAUCCCAAAUCCCAAUCUUUUUACUAAUUGGAGGGAAGCCUAGAAAAUAGAAAGAUGCCUAAUUUUCGGUGUCGGUGUCCAAUAGUGAACCAAAGGUUAGCCAGGUCUUAUUAGGAUUUGGUUUUAAAUGUUAGAAGGCAAUGUUCUAAAGGGGAUUUUCUAUGCGGAUCGUAGAUUCGGAUGGGAACCGAUCAUGAUCAAAUUGGUUUAAGGAUGGUAUGGUUGUCCGGGCAUGGUUCUCCCCUAAAUAUAAAUUGAUAUUUUUAGUCUUUCAUGUGACCUCGUUCAAACAUUACCGGGAUGUUGUAUACCAUGUCAAUGUGUAGCAAUAACAUCUACUGUGAUUGUCCAUUCCAAA